This 2015-nucleotide long non-coding RNA is filed under the name Prunus persica (peach). RNAcentral describes it as "long non-coding RNA (PPER_LNC005471)". Lineage: Eukaryota; Viridiplantae; Streptophyta; Magnoliopsida; Rosales; Rosaceae. The record is from RNAcentral.
AUGGAGUGUAUGAAAACACAAAGACGAAAGGAAUUGUGCAAAGUUGACGCACUCAUAAUUGUACCAGGAAUUGGUAAACUUGAUGACACAACGUCCUACAAAAAUCAAGCCGCCUUAUCCGGAAUCUAAUUUGAGUCCAAAUUUAUUCCAUACUUACUUGAUUCGAAUUAUGAUCCAAAAUCGUACUAGAAGCAGAGUAUUUUUGGGUUGAUUCAAUGAUCCAAACCUGAUCCGACUGUUAUUUUUAUUUAAUUAUUUUAUUAAUUAACAGUUGUCCUCCAUGCGAUUUGAAUUCAGAACUCAAUCCAGCAAAACAAAGAGUAUGAGCUACUAAAACACCAACAUAUAUAUAGUCAAAUAAACAGAACAUACAAGAGAAAGAAAAGCCACGCACAGCAGUAUAUUUAUUGAUAUAAAGGCAACUGCAAAAUCCUCCCACUCUCCCUCCUUCGCUGGCUAUCUACUUGCGGUGGAGGUCUUUGAAAUAAGCUUUAGGGUCACGCGCAAAAUCAUCCCUUAAGAUUUGCUCACCUCCUCGGCCCGGAGCUUUCAUCGUCUUCCCCUUCUGCUUUGGUUCUGAUUCUGAACCUGAACCUGAAACAAGACGGGAUAAACCAUAGGCUAGCAGAGCCGCUCCUGCCACAGCGCCAGCUGCAAUUGCACCAGUGGACAAGUCAGCCUUGUCGUUACGCAAGUCACCACCAUUUUCCUCAUUGUUUCCAGACCCUUCCCUGCUUUCAUUCGCUCCCAUUUUUUCUACUAUGCAAUCCAAUCCAAACUCUACUUGAUUUUGCAACUUGGUUUUGGACGGGACGGGGUGUGGUUAUAUAUAUUACCAAAGGUGUUUAGAUUCUCAAAGACUAAAACGACUCAAGGACUCGGUGGUCGAAUCAGCAUCCAAAGCUCAUGCUUUUCGUACAGUUCCCACUCAUAUUACCCACUCCAUCACCUGUUUCCUUUCACUUUCUUCUUUAUACUAGAUAAGUUUACCCUUCAUUUCAAUAGUGUUUUGUUUGGUUUUCUUCUUUUGCUUUUGUUGUUUCCUCUCACUUUUCCUUCCUUCUUGACAAAGUUACCUUUCCUCUCUUUGCAUUGAAUCUUCAACUUCAUAGUUUUGUUUGUUCAUAGGGUUUUUAUUUUAUUUUAUCAAAACGGUCCUUGAACUUAUACCUAAGUUCCAUUUUGGUCCUUUAAUUCUCUAUUUCGUAUCAAAUUGGUCCACCGUCAAACUCUGCCAAUAUUACUGUCAAUUGAAGGGCUAAAAUGUCGUCAAUUUGUAUAUAUAUUUCACAAUUUUAGCCCUCAAAUUAACGGAAAUAUUGACGGAGUUACCAAUUUGACAUGCAAGGAAGAGUUGGAGGACCAUUGGUGUGAAAAAAUUGGUUGAAGUACCAAAAUAAAAUUUGGGCAUAAAUUCAAGGACCAUUUCAAUUAUAAACCCUUGUUUAUGUUAGUAAAUAUCUGGUGAUACUUCCACUUAAAAUUUUAUGUGACUGAGUUUACGAUUUUGACUUGAUUAGACCACAUGAUUAAAACUGCCAAAAUUGAAAUAACAUGAACCAAUCUGGAAGAUGAGUCAAAUUACGUGAACCAAAAAUGUAAUUGAGCCAAAAAAACAAAAACAGAAAAACUCUCCAGAUUGAUAAUUUCACACCCAACCUAUUCAAAUUGUUCAAAAAAUAAAUCAUAUGCAUUAAGUAAUAGUGUGACAAAUUAUUUAUAGGAUUGCACUAUACGAAUUUUUAUUUAUUUUCCUUAUAUUCUUACUCCCUCCCAAGGAAGCGAAGAGUUGAAGGUUGAAGAUUUAUUUCAAACGGCACUCCACUUACUAAAAAGCUUGGGGAGGAGUUUCUCAAUUCUGCCUUCCCUUCUUCCACCUAGGCAUGCUAUGAAAUAAUAUUUGUGGUAAUGUUUGGUGUGUUUGGCUAUAGAUAUAUGGAAACAUUGGAACUGCCUUAUACCAACUUUGGCCUUGGUUGACGAAAGGUGUUUAGAUUCUCAAAGACUAAAACGAC